RNAcentral lists this ribosomal RNA (465 nucleotides) under Vreelandella stevensii. RNAcentral describes it as "partial 16S ribosomal RNA". It matches the Rfam family "Bacterial small subunit ribosomal RNA", at positions 338 to 795 of the family's 1533-position model. Lineage: Bacteria; Pseudomonadati; Pseudomonadota; Gammaproteobacteria; Oceanospirillales; Halomonadaceae. The record is from RNAcentral.
CCUACGGGGGGCAGCAGUGGGGAAUAUUGGACAAUGGGGGCAACCCUGAUCCAGCCAUGCCGCGUGUGUGAAGAAGGCCCUCGGGUUGUAAAGCACUUUCAGUGAGGAAGAACGCCUGGUGGUUAAUACCCAUCAGGAAAGACAUCACUCACAGAAGAAGCACCGGCUAACUCCGUGCCAGCAGCCGCGGUAAUACGGAGGGUGCGAGCGUUAAUCGGAAUUACUGGGCGUAAAGCGCGCGUAGGUGGCUUGAUAAGCCGGCUGUGAAAGCCCCGGGCUCAACCUGGGAACGGCAUCCGGAACUGUCAAGCUAGAGUGCAGGAGAGGAAGGUAGAAUUCCCGGAGUAGCGGUGAAAUGCGUAGAGAUCGGGAGGAAUACCAGUGGCGAAGGCGGCCUUCUGGACUGACACUGACACUGAGGUGCGAAAGCGUGGGUAGCAAACAGGAUUAGAUACCCUGGUAGUC